RNA transcript from Solanum lycopersicum (tomato), 3177 nucleotides. RefSeq lists it as uncharacterized. Lineage: Eukaryota; Viridiplantae; Streptophyta; Magnoliopsida; Solanales; Solanaceae. The record is from RefSeq and is a predicted model, not a curated record.
ACUCUUAAGAGAGGAUAAAUUGGAAUUUUGAGGUGCCCAUAUAUAAAUUUUUCAAUGCUGUUCAAUAUUAUCUGAUGAAAUUCACUUUGUUUUUUCAAGAAUGAACAACCUUAGCCUUGACAAAACCUCAACACCCAACCCCUUGUUGUCAAUUUCAUCUUUACACCAUUCAAGAAUCUCAAAAUCCCUUUGUUUACCCAGAAAAGUUCUUGUUUUUGCUGAUAAAAAUGAUAAUUCAGCCUCAAUAACUAGUGGGUUUCUGUCAAAAACUCAUUUUUCCUACAAAAAAGUAACUGUUUUUGCUGAUAAAGAUGACAAUUCAAGUCCAGUAGCAAGUGGGGUUUUGUCAAGAACACAUUUUUCCUCCAAAAAAGUUGCUGUUUUUGCCUCUAAAGAUGAUAAUUUUAGCUCAAUAACAAGCGGGGUUUUGUCAAGAACUGUUUUUUCCUCCAGAAAGACAAAGAAAUUUGUUGUUUUUGCUUCUAAAGAUGAUAGGAAUAGUAAUAAGCUUGACCAGUGGGACCAAAUGGAACUCAAGUUUGGCAGAUUAAUUGGUGAAGACCCAAAACUUACCUUAGCUAAGAUAAUUAGUAGGAAAACAAACCCGGAGACAUCUUAUCUUGAAAUUGAAGAGUCAUUUGAGCAGAAGAAGGGAAAAACGUCUGGUGAAACUGUGGAGGUUCCGUUUGAUGCAUCCAAGCAAAAGAAAUCUCUCAAUUCAUCAAAUGGAUUAAAUUUGGUUCGCCCUGUGCCCAAGAAGGGUGUUAAGUUCGAGGUUGAUGAAAAACAGCCAAAGACUGAGGGCUAUAAACAAAGUCAACCAAUUUCAAGACCUGAAGUAAGUAGAAAAAGUAGUGUUCCAAAUGUCAUACUGCGAAAGCCAAGUUUGUAUUCUGAGGAGGAUGAAUCAUCAAAAUUCAAAAUUAAGCCAAACUUGACACUGAAAAUGGGCAGAGAACUGAAACCUGAGAAGUUUAGUGAUGUUACAUUGUUGAAGAAGCCGGAACCAAUGAGGAUCAGCUCCGACGAUAGUGAAAAGAAUGGACAAUCAAGUGAUAAGUCUAGUGAUGCUACAUUGUUGAAGAAGCCAGAACCAAUGAGGAUCAGCUCCGAUGAUAGUGAAAAGAAUGGACAAUCAAGCGAUGUCUUGCCUGUAUCUAGUGAUGACUCCGAAGAUGCUAGUCUUACAGAGGUGUACGCAUCAAGUAGUGAACCCAAAAACAGCUUGCUUCUAAAUAAGCCAGAGCCUAGUAAUUUAAAUCUAAAGAUAGAUCCAAAUAAAGAAUCUUCCGAGGUUCAGCAUCCGAGUAUUUCGGAUGAAAGUACUUUCGAUGCUGCUAACUCUUCUUCUGAGCUUAUAAGUAUGGCAGAGAGUAAACUCCGCCAACCGUUACAAUCUAACAGAAGCAAUCCUCUUGAGAAGCAAGGCUUUGGUACAGGAUUCCAGCAGACUGAUACACAGCCCGCUGAGAGAAGUUCUGAUUCCAAUACACCUGCUGAAACUGGACCCAUGGAAUCUUUGGAUGCUGCUCUUCUUGGAAAACCGAAAAGAUUAGACCGACCUAAAAAGGAAGCAUCACGUGUUAGUCAGGAGGAUAUGCGUCCUGUCAAAUCUGAGGGCUAUGGAAAUGCUUCAGAGAUUGAAAACUUCCUGGCAAAAUCAUCCAUUAAGGAACAUGAAGACAAUGACUGGGUAAGAGCUGAAGAGCUUGUCAAGAGCGGAGGAAGAGAAGACGUGGAACUAGUCAGCUGUAGCACCAGAGGCUUUGUUGUAUCUUUUGGUUCCUUGAUAGGAUUUUUGCCAUAUCGCAAUCUUGCAGCCAGGUGGAAAUUCUUAGCUUUUGAAUCUUGGUUGAGGCAAAAAGGUUUGGAUCCAUCCCAAUACAAGCAAGGUCUGGGGAUCAUUGGAGGCUAUGAUGGUUUUGGCAAGGCAGCUUCUCCUGAGGCAGGAGUAGAUCCGCAAAUUGCUAAAAAUGCCGAUGAGGAGAUCUCGCCAGAUAUGAAACUUGAAGAUCUUCUCAGGAUUUAUGACCAAGAGAAACUCCAGUUCUUAUCAUCAUUUGUUGGUCUGAGGAUCAGAGUAAGUGUGGUGUUGGCUGACAGAUAUUCCAGAAGGCUAAUAUUCUCGUUAAAGGCAAAAGAAAAGGAAGAAUUGGUCGAGAAGAAGAAGAGCCUUAUGGCAAAACUUCAGGUUGGGGACGUGGUAAAAUGCUGUAUACAAAAAAUUACCUAUUUCGGUAUAUUUGUCGAGGUUGAAGGAGUACUUGCGCUAAUUCACCAGACAGAAGUCUCAUGGGAUGCCACUUUAGACCCUGCGUCGUAUUUUAAAAUUGGCCAGAUUGUGGAGGCAAAAGUUCACCAGUUAGACUUUUCACUUGAGCGCAUCUUCUUGUCAUUGAAGGAAAUAACGCCAGAUCCCAUGAUGGAGGCCUUAGAGGCUGUAGUUGGUGAUCCUGAUAAUUUGAAUGGAGAACUCCAAGCAUCAGAGCUGGAUACUGAGUGGCCUGACGUGGAAUCUCUUAUCAAAGAAUUAAAGCAGUUUGAGGGCAUCUCCUCUGUAUCAAAAGGGCGGUACUUCUUGAGCCCUGGUUUGGCUCCAACAUUUCAGGUUUAUAUGGCAUCCAUGUUUGAGAAUCAAUACAAGUUACUUGCGCGGUCGGGAAAUAGAGUACAAGAGGUUAUAGUGGAGACAUCAUUGAGUAAAGAGGAAAUGAAAUCUGCAAUUCAAUCUUGUACAAACAAAGUUGAAUAACCAAUCAAAGCGUAAUAAUAAACAAUACGAAGAGAGUGAUAGAUCUUCCCGUGGAGACAACGAACGGAUGGUAAGGGUCUGAUACCGAAUUAGCAAAGUCGGACGUUAGAACAGCAGAAACGGAGAAAAGAAAUGACCUAAACCGCGUUCUAUUUUGAACGAAAAUGGUUCAUGUUGAUGCAUUGUUCAUGCAAUUGUGUUUUCAUCUGGUAUUUGAUAAUGCAAUUUUGAAUAAUCCAAAACGGAUUGCAGCAAUAAUUUUUUGAUAGUCCGAGCAACAUAAUUCUUAUAAUGCUUAUAGCUUUAUUUGUAUCUAUCAGAAACAACUUCAUUACCUCUCAAGGUAAAGGGUAUACUCUAUCUUUUGUAGGAUUAUACGGAGUAUGUUGUUGUUGUAUGUAUUAGAAUGUAUAUUUUCUAGUGGA